RNAcentral lists this ribosomal RNA (354 nucleotides) under Triticum aestivum (bread wheat). RNAcentral describes it as "partial small subunit ribosomal RNA". Lineage: Eukaryota; Viridiplantae; Streptophyta; Magnoliopsida; Poales; Poaceae. The record is from RNAcentral.
AUGAGGAGACGCCUGCCGUGGCGGACGCGGAGACAACAGCCAUGGGCGUGGAAGACGGUUUUGGAUCCUGUGAGCCGCCGCCGCUGCCGCACAGAAAGUCAACGCGGGCCUUCUGCUGCUCCAUGUCCAACAAGUCGCCCACGAGGCGUCAGUGUGGCAUUGCUAGCUCCAGCUCCCCCCUGCAAUCGUCUCUGCCGCCGGCACUUGCACGCAAUCGUGCUGGUUUCUGUAGUUCAAGAUCAAAGGCAAGAAUCAGCCAAAUAUGAUGAUGAGAACAAGGCUAAUGAUGGAGAACCUUCAUCUAUCGAAGCUGAGCAGUCUAUUGGGAAUACUAAGUUUCAAUGCGCAUCCUAA